Molecule: long non-coding RNA, 211 nt
Filed under: Eucalyptus grandis
Lineage: Eukaryota; Viridiplantae; Streptophyta; Magnoliopsida; Myrtales; Myrtaceae
Description: long non-coding RNA (EGRA_LNC002139)
Source: RNAcentral
CCGGCACCAAAAAAACUUGCACUCAGAAUGUCAGAGUACCACUCAAGUGGAAGGGUGCCAACCCGAGCUGCAGAGAAAGAUAUAGGAAACAAAAUAACAGGCAGCUAAAAGAAGGCUGACGAACAGCGCAGCCAGGGCAGAAAGCAGGCCAAUAAUAAACGAAAAGGGAGGGCAGAAAUACAACCCCACAACACCAGGAUACAACCAAAUG